GUCUGCUGCAGUUUUGGGACUGUGUUGUCGUGGUGCCAUCAGCCAAUCAGAGUUUUCAUGAUGUCAUUUCCUGCGACCUCAGAGUGAUUAGUCACGUUGAAUUUAUGGCUCAGGUGGAUGUCUAAAGAAAUGUGCUUCUGGCAGGAUGUGCUACCUGAGAAAGUGCCAUGGAGAUGAAUGGAAACGCCAUCGGAUACUUUCUCCAGGAAUUACAGACCUCCUCUGGUCUUUGACCGGAAGUGGAGCUUCAGCGGGUGGGAGUGUUUUUCUCUGCCAAGAGCCAAAAAGCACUGACCCCUGAAGUGUCACCCUCAUGAGGCCGGUAACAGUACUGCUGUAAAAUGAAUCAUUCCUCCACACUCACUUUCCCAGAAUGGCCAUGGACUGAUGUGACAAACACCAAGCAGGAGACCGGCACAGCUGGGCCGCGUAAAGCCUGCAAGAAAAACAACGAGCGAGAAAUAAAACAUGGACUUAAACUAUG
Molecule: long non-coding RNA, 484 nt
Organism: Carassius carassius (crucian carp)
Lineage: Eukaryota; Metazoa; Chordata; Actinopteri; Cypriniformes; Cyprinidae
Exons: 2
Source: RefSeq, a predicted model, not a curated record